RNAcentral lists this transfer RNA (72 nucleotides) under Ornithorhynchus anatinus (platypus). It matches the Rfam family "tRNA". Rfam says of the family: Transfer RNA (tRNA) molecules are approximately 80 nucleotides in length. Their secondary structure includes four short double-helical elements and three loops (D, anti-codon, and T loops). Lineage: Eukaryota; Metazoa; Chordata; Mammalia; Monotremata; Ornithorhynchidae. The record is from Rfam by way of RNAcentral.
AGCAGAAUGGCUCAGUGGUAAGAGCAUGGGCUUGGGAGUCAGAGAUCAUGGGUUCGAAUCCCGGCUCUGCCA